RNAcentral lists this unclassified non-coding RNA (89 nucleotides) under Pseudomonas moraviensis. The record is from RNAcentral. Lineage: Bacteria; Pseudomonadati; Pseudomonadota; Gammaproteobacteria; Pseudomonadales; Pseudomonadaceae.
UGUAGGAGUGAGCCUGCUCGCGAUGGCGGUGUGUCAGUCACAUCAUCGUUGAAUGUGCAGACGCUAUCGCGAGCAGGCUCACUCCUACA